AGCCCCUCGUGUGGCGAUAUCUUGCCGAACUCCCCCAGGGCCGGAAGGCAGCAAGGGUAAGCGAGCUCUGUCGGGUGCGCGAGGGGUCUUU
Molecule: signal recognition particle RNA, 91 nt
Filed under: Nocardioidaceae bacterium
Lineage: Bacteria; Bacillati; Actinomycetota; Actinomycetes; Propionibacteriales; Nocardioidaceae
Description: signal recognition particle sRNA small type
Rfam family: Bacterial small signal recognition particle RNA
About the family: The signal recognition particle (SRP) is a universally conserved ribonucleoprotein involved in the co-translational targeting of proteins to membranes. Archaeal SRP consists of a 7S RNA and homologues of the eukaryotic SRP19 and SRP54 proteins.
Source: RNAcentral